GUCUACAGCCAUGCCACCCUGAACUAGCCCGAUCCCGUCUGAUCUCAGAAGCUAAGCAGGGUCGGGCCUGGUUAGUACUUGGUUGGGAGACUACCUAGGAAGACCAGGUGCUGUAGGCA
RNAcentral lists this ribosomal RNA (119 nucleotides) under Pteropus alecto (black flying fox). The record is from RNAcentral. Lineage: Eukaryota; Metazoa; Chordata; Mammalia; Chiroptera; Pteropodidae.